AUGGAGAGCUUGUGUGCAGGUGGUAAGUAUGAUGGUGCUGUGCAGGUGCUCGAUGAGCUUCUAGAGAAGGGCACACUGCUUAGCCCAAAGAGUCCAGUGAUGGAAGCACCGGCUUAUAAUCCAGUGAUUGAGUAUCUGUGCGACAAUGGGAAUACCAACAAGGCCGAGACGUUCUUCAGGCAGCUGAUGAAGAAAGGUGUGGAUGACAAGUCUGCAUUCAACAGUCUUAUCCGUGGGCAUGCAAAGGAAGGUGCGCUAGAGGCCGCAAAGGAGAUUCUUGCCAUUAUGACACGCCGUGGCGUCCCUACUGACCCCCACUCGCACGCACUGCUUAUUGAUAGCUUCCUGAAGAAGAACGAGCCAGCUGAUGCAAAGACGGCACUGGACAGCAUGAUGGAACAUGGUCACUUACCAAGGCCAGCUCUGUUCCAGUCUGUCAUGGCGGCACUUUUCAACGAUGGCCGGGUUCAGACCGCAAGCAGGGUCAUGAAGAGUAUGAUCGAGAAGGGGAUUACCGAGAACAUGGAUAUGGCACAUAAGAUCGUGGAGGCUCUCUUCAUGAGGUGUCAUGUGGAGGAGGCGAUUGGUCGCGUCAAUCUGAUGGUGGAAAAUGGCUGUAUGCCUGAUCUGGAUAAGUUGCUAGCUGCCCUUUGCGAGAAGGACAAAGUGAUGGAGGCACAAAAGCUGGCUGAUUUUGCGUUGGACCGGGACUUUGAAGUUAGCUUCUCAACCUAUGACAGAGUCCUGGAAGCCCUGUACACUGAGGAGAAGACAUUGCCACCCUACUCCAUGCUCUGCAAGAUCAAGCACAAAGGAGGCGUUGUAGAUCAGAAGGGUUGCGAUGCUUUGAUGGAUAGCUUAAAAGCUGGAGGAUACUCAAAGCAAGCUGACAUUUUGUCUAGGAUCUUGGUGGAGAAUGGAUCAUCAAUAUCCAAGAGGGGCAAGAAGUCUGCCAUGGGUGCAUAG
This 966-nucleotide ribosomal RNA is filed under the name Triticum aestivum (bread wheat). Its description in RNAcentral is "partial small subunit ribosomal RNA". Lineage: Eukaryota; Viridiplantae; Streptophyta; Magnoliopsida; Poales; Poaceae. The record is from RNAcentral.